This 286-nucleotide long non-coding RNA is filed under the name Populus trichocarpa (black cottonwood). RNAcentral's name for it is "long non-coding RNA (PTRI_LNC002205)". The record is from RNAcentral. Lineage: Eukaryota; Viridiplantae; Streptophyta; Magnoliopsida; Malpighiales; Salicaceae.
AAAUCAGUUGAAUUAAACAGGCCAAAAGGAAGACCUAGAAAAAAGCCAAUAGAAGAAUCAUCCAGAAAUGAAGCCACAAAGGCUUUAGUUAAGAUGCCAAAAGGAAGACCUAGAAAAAGACCAAUAGAAGAAUCACCCUGUAACGAAGCCACGGAGUUGAUUUCAGCUAAGAGGCCUAAAGGAAGACCUAGAAAAAAGCCAAUAGAAGAAUCACCCAGUAAUGAAGCCAUAGAGGAGAUUUUAGCUCCAGUUAAUGAAGCGACAAAGGAGAAUUUAGCUCAAGUUA